RNAcentral lists this ribosomal RNA (2758 nucleotides) under Klebsiella pneumoniae. RNAcentral describes it as "bacterial LSU rRNA". It matches the Rfam family "Bacterial large subunit ribosomal RNA". The record is from RNAcentral. Lineage: Bacteria; Pseudomonadati; Pseudomonadota; Gammaproteobacteria; Enterobacterales; Enterobacteriaceae.
CACUAUCGUUAACUGAAUACAUAGGUUAACGAGGCGAACCGGGGGAACUGAAACAUCUAAGUACCCCGAGGAAAAGAAAUCAACCGAGAUUCCCCCAGUAGCGGCGAGCGAACGGGGAGCAGCCCAGAGUCUGAAUCAGCUUGUGUGUUAGUGGAACGGUCUGGAAAGUCCGACGGUACAGGGUGAUAGUCCCGUACACCAAAAUGCACAGGUUGUGAACUCGAAGAGUAGGGCGGGACACGUGGUAUCCUGUCUGAAUAUGGGGGGACCAUCCUCCAAGGCUAAAUACUCCUGACUGACCGAUAGUGAACCAGUACCGUGAGGGAAAGGCGAAAAGAACCCCGGCGAGGGGAGUGAAAAAGAACCUGAAACCGUGUACGUACAAGCAGUGGGAGCACCUUCGGGUGUGACUGCGUACCUUUUGUAUAAUGGGUCAGCGACUUAUAUUCUGUAGCAAGGUUAACCGUAUAGGGGAGCCGCAGGGAAACCGAGUCUUAACUGGGCGUUAAGUUGCAGGGUAUAGACCCGAAACCCGGUGAUCUAGCCAUGGGCAGGUUGAAGGUUGGGUAACACUAACUGGAGGACCGAACCGACUAAUGUUGAAAAAUUAGCGGAUGACUUGUGGCUGGGGGUGAAAGGCCAAUCAAACCGGGAGAUAGCUGGUUCUCCCCGAAAGCUAUUUAGGUAGCGCCUCGUGAACUCAUCUUCGGGGGUAGAGCACUGUUUCGGCUAGGGGGUCAUCCCGACUUACCAACCCGAUGCAAACUACGAAUACCGAAGAAUGUUAUCACGGGAGACACACGGCGGGUGCUAACGUCCGUCGUGAAGAGGGAAACAACCCAGACCGCCAGCUAAGGUCCCAAAGUCAUGGUUAAGUGGGAAACGAUGUGGGAAGGCACAGACAGCCAGGAUGUUGGCUUAGAAGCAGCCAUCAUUUAAAGAAAGCGUAAUAGCUCACUGGUCGAGUCGGCCUGCGCGGAAGAUGUAACGGGGCUAAACCAUGCACCGAAGCUGCGGCAGCGACACUAUGUGUUGUUGGGUAGGGGAGCGUUCUGUAAGCCUGCGAAGGUGACCUGUGAGGGUUGCUGGAGGUAUCAGAAGUGCGAAUGCUGACAUAAGUAACGAUAAAGCGGGUGAAAAGCCCGCUCGCCGGAAGACCAAGGGUUCCUGUCCAACGUUAAUCGGGGCAGGGUGAGUCGACCCCUAAGGCGAGGCCGAAAGGCGUAGUCGAUGGGAAACAGGUUAAUAUUCCUGUACUUGGUGUUACUGCGAAGGGGGGACGGAGAAGGCUAUGUUAGCCGGGCGACGGUUGUCCCGGUUUAAGCAUGUAGGCUGAUUAUCCAGGCAAAUCCGGAUAAUCAAGGCUGAGGUGUGAUGACGAGGCACUACGGUGCUGAAGUAACAAAUGCCCUGCUUCCAGGAAAAGCCUCUAAGCAUCAGGUAACAUCAAAUCGUACCCCAAACCGACACAGGUGGUCAGGUAGAGAAUACCAAGGCGCUUGAGAGAACUCGGGUGAAGGAACUAGGCAAAAUGGUGCCGUAACUUCGGGAGAAGGCACGCUGGUGUGUAGGUGAAGUCCCUGCGGAUGGAGCUGAGACCAGUCGAAGAUACCAGCUGGCUGCAACUGUUUAUUAAAAACACAGCACUGUGCAAACACGAAAGUGGACGUAUACGGUGUGACGCCUGCCCGGUGCCGGAAGGUUAAUUGAUGGGGUUAUCCGUAAGGAGAAGCUCUUGAUCGAAGCCCCGGUAAACGGCGGCCGUAACUAUAACGGUCCUAAGGUAGCGAAAUUCCUUGUCGGGUAAGUUCCGACCUGCACGAAUGGCGUAAUGAUGGCCAGGCUGUCUCCACCCGAGACUCAGUGAAAUUGAACUCGCUGUGAAGAUGCAGUGUACCCGCGGCAAGACGGAAAGACCCCGUGAACCUUUACUAUAGCUUGACACUGAACAUUGAGCCUUGAUGUGUAGGAUAGGUGGGAGGCUUUGAAGCGUGGACGCCAGUCUGCGUGGAGCCAACCUUGAAAUACCACCCUUUAAUGUUUGAUGUUCUAACGUUGGCCCCUGACCGGGGUUGCGGACAGUGUCUGGUGGGUAGUUUGACUGGGGCGGUCUCCUCCCAAAGCGUAACGGAGGAGCACGAAGGUUAGCUAAUCCUGGUCGGACAUCAGGAGGUUAGUGCAAUGGCAUAAGCUAGCUUGACUGCGAGCGUGACGGCGCGAGCAGGUGCGAAAGCAGGUCAUAGUGAUCCGGUGGUUCUGAAUGGAAGGGCCAUCGCUCAACGGAUAAAAGGUACUCCGGGGAUAACAGGCUGAUACCGCCCAAGAGUUCAUAUCGACGGCGGUGUUUGGCACCUCGAUGUCGGCUCAUCACAUCCUGGGGCUGAAGUAGGUCCCAAGGGUAUGGCUGUUCGCCAUUUAAAGUGGUACGCGAGCUGGGUUUAGAACGUCGUGAGACAGUUCGGUCCCUAUCUGCCGUGGGCGCUGGAGAAUUGAGGGGGGCUGCUCCUAGUACGAGAGGACCGGAGUGGACGCAUCACUGGUGUUCGGGUUGUCAUGCCAAUGGCACUGCCCGGUAGCUAAAUGCGGAAGAGAUAAGUGCUGAAAGCAUCUAAGCACGAAACUUGCCCCGAGAUGAGUUCUCCCUGAGACUUUAAGUCUCCUGAAGGAACGUUAAAGACGAUGACGUUGAUAGGCCGGGUGUGUAAGCGCAGCGAUGCGUUGAGCUAACCGGUACUAAUGAACCGUGAGGCUUAACCUU